RNAcentral lists this RNase P RNA (365 nucleotides) under Microbacterium sp. RNAcentral's name for it is "RNase P RNA component class A". It matches the Rfam family "Bacterial RNase P class A". Rfam says of the family: Ribonuclease P (RNase P) is a ubiquitous endoribonuclease, found in archaea, bacteria and eukarya as well as chloroplasts and mitochondria. Its best characterised activity is the generation of mature 5'-ends of tRNAs by cleaving the 5'-leader elements of precursor-tRNAs. Cellular RNase Ps are ribonucleoproteins. RNAcentral also lists the same sequence under 2 other names. Lineage: Bacteria; Bacillati; Actinomycetota; Actinomycetes; Micrococcales; Microbacteriaceae. The record is from RNAcentral.
UGGGUCGGCUGGACGGUCGCGUCACGGGUUCACCCGUGCCGAGGAACGUCCGGGCUCCACAGGGCAGGACGGUGGGUAACGCCCACCCGGAGCAAUCCGCGAGACAGUGCCACAGAGAGCAGACCGCCCGCGCUCCACGGCGCGGGUAAGGGUGAAAGGGUGGUGUAAGAGACCACCGGGGUCGUGGUGACACGACCCGCGAGGUAAACCUCGUCCGGAGCAAGGCCAGACAGGGGAUGACGACGCGGCUCGCCGAGUCCCCGGGUAGGCCGCUGGAGCGGCACGGCAACGUGUCGCCGAGAGAGAUGACCGUCCACGGGGCUCACGCCCCCGGACAGAACCCGGCGUACAGGCCGGCCCAUUCG